GAUGAACGCUGGCGGCGUGCCUAAUACAUGCAAGUCGAGCGAACAGACGAGGAGCUUGCUCCUUUGACGUUAGCGGCGGACGGGUGAGUAACACGUAGGUAACCUACCUAUAAGACUGGGAUAACUUCGGGAAACCGGAGCUAAUACCGGAUAAUAUUUCGAACCGCAUGGUUCGAUAGUGAAAGAUGGCUUUGCUAUCACUUAUAGAUGGACCUGCGCCGUAUUAGCUAGUUGGUAAGGUAACGGCUUACCAAGGCAACGAUACGUAGCCGACCUGAGAGGGUGAUCGGCCACACUGGAACUGAGACACGGUCCAGACUCCUACGGGAGGCAGCAGUAGGGAAUCUUCCGCAAUGGGCGAAAGCCUGACGGAGCAACGCCGCGUGAGUGAUGAAGGUCUUCGGAUCGUAAAACUCUGUUAUUAGGGAAGACCAAACGUGUAAGUAACUGUGCACGUCUUGACGGUACCUAAUCAGAAAGCCACGGCUAACUACGUG
This 497-nucleotide ribosomal RNA is filed under the name uncultured bacterium. RNAcentral describes it as "partial 16S ribosomal RNA". It matches the Rfam family "Bacterial small subunit ribosomal RNA", at positions 28 to 507 of the family's 1533-position model. The record is from RNAcentral.